GCCUCGCUAGCUCAAUCGGUAGAGCGUCAGACUCUUAAUCUGAAGGUUGCGGGUUCGACCCCCGCGUGGGGCU
Molecule: non-coding RNA, 73 nt
Organism: Pyronema omphalodes CBS 100304
Lineage: Eukaryota; Fungi; Ascomycota; Pezizomycetes; Pezizales; Pyronemataceae
Source: Rfam